AUGGUUAAGCUACUAAGAGCACACGGAGGAUGCCUAGGCGCUAGGAGCCGAAGAAGGACGUGGCGAACAACGAAACUGCCUCGGGGAGCUGUAAGCAAGCAUCGAUCC
RNAcentral lists this ribosomal RNA (108 nucleotides) under Paenibacillus macerans. RNAcentral's name for it is "partial 23S ribosomal RNA". It matches the Rfam family "Bacterial large subunit ribosomal RNA", at positions 1 to 105 of the family's 2925-position model. Lineage: Bacteria; Bacillati; Bacillota; Bacilli; Caryophanales; Paenibacillaceae. The record is from RNAcentral.